This 667-nucleotide long non-coding RNA is filed under the name Jatropha curcas. Its description in RNAcentral is "long non-coding RNA (JCUR_LNC001022)". Lineage: Eukaryota; Viridiplantae; Streptophyta; Magnoliopsida; Malpighiales; Euphorbiaceae. The record is from RNAcentral.
AUUAAGGUAUCAUUCUUUUUUUUACAAAAUUGUGGCCGAAAGCUUAUGUAGAUAGGAAAGAUAAUCAGAAAAUGGAUCAGAUUCCAUGCUUUCAAUGUUUUUAAUUGCCAAGGAAGCAUUUGGACUGCCCUACUUCUCAUCCUAGCAUCUCCUUAUGAAAGGGCACUUAUGUUGUUUGAAAAGUCUCCACAUAUUCAAAGAGAAAUCUUUACUUAAGAACAAAAUUUUUCUCUAAGUAUAAAAUAACAAAAUGGAAUUGUUCUUUCACAUUCAUGUCCUUAAUUGAAAGGGGGAACCGGGGAAGAAUAACAGUUGUUACAGAAAAUGUUCCAUGUUGAAUAAAUAUAAAAUAUAUUGAAGGCCUUGUAUGAUAUUUCGAACUUACUAGAUCCUGUCAUGAAAAUCCAAGUCUGGCCCGAUAUUAAAAUCCAACCCGAAUCAAUUUGUUGGGCCUGGAAAAUUUUGCAGGCUAAAAUCUUUGGGAUCCCAGGCCCGUGCACAGGUCCAAUGACGAGUGCCACUUUCUCGGUGUUAUCCCUUGCAACAAUUUGUCAUCGUGAUGACUUCGGUCAGAUCCGUUUGAGUUCGUGUCUGGUGACUCGGAAUCGGACUCGUUUUUUUUUUUUUUUUUUUUUUUUUUUUUUUUUUUUUUUCUUUUUUUUUUUCC